AGAGUUUGAUCAUGGCUCAGGACGAACGCUGGCGGCGUGCCUAAUACAUGCAAGUCGAGCGAGCUUGCCUAGAUGAUUUUGGUGCUUGCACUAAAUGAAACUAGAUACAAGCGAGCGGCGGACGGGUGAGUAACACGUGGGUAACCUGCCCAAGAGACUGGGAUAACACCUGGAAACAGAUGCUAAUACCGGAUAACAACACUAGACGCAUGUCUAGAGUUUGAAAGAUGGUUCUGCUAUCACUCUUGGAUGGACCUGCGGUGCAUUAGCUAGUUGGUAAGGUAACGGCUUACCAAGGCAAUGAUGCAUAGCCGAGUUGAGAGACUGAUCGGCCACAUUGGGACUGAGACACGGCCCAAACUCCUACGGGAGGCAGCAGUAGGGAAUCUUCCACAAUGGACGAAAGUCUGAUGGAGCAAGCCGCGUGAGUGAAGAAGGGUUUCGGCUCGUAAAGCUCUGUUGGUAGUGAAGAAAGAUAGAGGUAGUAACUGGCCUUUAUUUGACGGUAAUUACUUAGAAAGUCACGGCUAACUACGUGCCAGCAGCCGCGGUAAUACGUAGGUGGCAAGCGUUGUCCGGAUUUAUUGGGCGUAAAGCGAGUGCAGGCGGUUCAAUAAGUCUGAUGUGAAAGCCUUCGGCUCAACCGGAGAAUUGCAUCAGAAACUGUUGAACUUGAGUGCAGAAGAGGAGAGUGGAACUCCAUGUGUAGCGGUGGAAUGCGUAGAUAUAUGGAAGAACACCAGUGGCGAAGGCGGCUCUCUGGUCUGCAACUGACGCUGAGGCUCGAAAGCAUGGGUAGCGAACAGGAUUAGAUACCCUGGUAGUCCAUGCCGUAAACGAUGAGUGCUAAGUGUGGGGAGGUUUCCGCCUCUCAGUGCUGCAGCU
RNAcentral lists this ribosomal RNA (885 nucleotides) under uncultured bacterium. RNAcentral's name for it is "bacterial SSU rRNA". It matches the Rfam family "Bacterial small subunit ribosomal RNA", at positions 8 to 853 of the family's 1533-position model. The record is from RNAcentral.